Non-coding RNA from Microcebus murinus (gray mouse lemur), 2377 nucleotides. The record is from RefSeq and is a predicted model, not a curated record. Lineage: Eukaryota; Metazoa; Chordata; Mammalia; Primates; Cheirogaleidae.
GAGCUAGGCUGACACCAUAGCACUCUAGCCCAGGCAAGAGAGUGAGACUCUGGCCCCCACCCCCCAAAAAAUCAAUGACAUGAAAAACAAACAGGCUGAGUGUGGGACAGAGGUUACUCUUCUAUGUUAAAAGAGACUAGAUCGACUAUAACAUCAGGAAAAGAAGAAAUAAUAGUUUAAAAAUGAAAAAAAUAAAAAAUGUGAAAUAAUUUAAAAGAAAGAGAGAGACUAGAGAUACAUGACCAAAUGCAAUACAUGAAAAUUGCCUGCCCCUGAACUAAAAUAAAAUGCUAAAAUGUCAUUCUGGGGACAAGCGGGGAUGAUACUACUGAAUUACUGUUGGCUUGCUUAGAUGUAUAAUGGUGUUAUAAUUAUAUAAAGCGAGCUUUCUCAACCUCUGCUGUUGACAUUUUAGAUCAGAUAAUUCUUUCUUGUUGGAUGUUUAGCAGCAUUUCUAGCCUCUGCCCACGAGGUGUCAGUAGCGCCACACCACUUCUGUUGCAACCACCAAAAAUUUCAGAAAGUGUUUUUGAAUGAGGUAGUGGUGAUGAUUGCAUAACAUUGUGAUUGUACAAAAUCAAUGGACUGUAUACUUUAAAAUGGUUAAAAUGAUGAAUUUUUAUGUUAUAUAAAUUUUUCUCAAUAAAGUAAUUAAAAAAAUGUUUUCAGUUAGUGUCAAAUGUCCCCCUGGAGGGCAAACUCACCCUUGGUGGAGAACCACUGCAGAAGGGUACACUAAUUCUGAAGGGAUGCAGGCUGCAAGAUUUGGGAAUGGAAUGUCUUGUUUGCAACUUACUUUCAAGCAGCAAAUGUGGUAAAAUGUUAACCAUUGAUGAAACCAGGUAUAUGUGUUGUUCAUUUACUGUUCUGUCAACUUUCCAUAGAUGUAAAAAUUUUCAAAACCCAAGGAAAAUAUUUUAACUUCAAAAUAUCUGUGUUUAUGACAUCCAAGGGAUCCAUGACAACUGCCAAAUGGCAGCCUCCUUUCAGAUUUGAUUACCCUAGUGCCUACAUUGUUGAGUGUACGAACCCUUCAUCCUUCAAGGUAGAACUCUUUCUCUCUGUUUCUCUGUCUGUCUCUCUCUUUCUCUCCCUCCCCCGUCCCACCCCAAGGCUGCCCUGAGCAUGUUGGUCCCAUGCUUUACCCGGUGGCUUGUGGAGAGAAGGACAUCCUAUAGACAGUCAUCUGCUCUGACUGGAUGCAGGUGAUGGGCCAUGUCAGCUCCUUUGUGCCACUGCACUGUGAGGAAGCCCAAGCUGCCCAACAGAGAGGCAUGUUUGGAGAGGAAGCAACAUGCAGCACCAACUCAAAAGCCACUUAAGUGAAUCAUCUUGGAAGUGGCUCCUCCAGCCGCAGCUGAUACUGCAUGGAGCAGAGACAAGUUGUCUCCACCGAGCUCUGCUUAUUUUGCAGCCUAGACACAGGUCUCUGAGGUGUGUGACUUCUGAGACUAAAAAGCAUACGGCUUCUUCCUUGUUUUUUGUCUUGGAUUGCUUGUUCUGGGGAAAGCCAACUGCUAUUUUGUAGGAUGCUCAACCCUAUGGAGAGGCCCACAGGGUAAGGACCUGAGGCCUUCUGCCAACAACCAUGUGAGUACACUUGGAAUCAGACCCUCCAGCCCCAGCCAAGCCUUCAGAUGACUGCAGCCUCAGCUGACAUCCUGACUGCAGUUUCCUUAGAGACCUGAGCCAGAACGCAGCUAAGCCAUCCCCAGAUUCCUGACCCUGAGAAACUGUGCCGAGAUAAUAAAUGUUGUUUAAAACAAACAAACAAAAGAUAUUCUAGGAAGGAACUCUCUCUGCUGAGCAAUUUCUGCCUCCAAGAGGCCAGCUCUAAAUGCUCAUCUCUGAAAUGAGUUCCCUCCUCCGAGCCCAGUGAGUCCCCUGCCCUGCAAUGCCCACACUCAUUGCUUUGUUACCAUUGUUAUCUCAUGGGUCAGUGAGAAUGUUGGCAGACUUCUCCUCACUUUACAGAAGAACAAACUGAGGCCUGGAACAAUGGCAUGAAGAUGACCAUAGUCACAGAAGAAUAAGAGACAGAGAUAUUGUUUUAGGUUUGGGUUCCUGCUGCAGAAGAUCUUGUGAUAAACAUUGCAGCACAGGAAAUUUCUUAGAAGAUACACAGAGCCAUGGUAGAAGGAUAUAGAGGUGACACAGGGAGGGAAGACAGCCAGCGUAAAGUGGGUUAUCAAGCAGGGUUUCACUGUGUGCCUAUUCCUUCCUGGGGUGCAGAUGGGGAACUCUAGGAUACAGUACAGAAUACAUGUCUUAAAGGGGUUCCACCUGAGGCAGGAUGAAGUCAGAGUAGAUAUACAACCACUUCCCUCAGUCCUUCCUGGAGGGCUGUUGAGGGUGUUAAUUCCUGACACUUCUGACC